GUGCCAGCCGCCGCGGUAAAACGGAGGGUGCAAGCGUUGUUCGGAAUUACUGGGCGUAAAGCGCGUGCAGGCGGCAUUCUAAGUUUCGUGUGAAAUCCCUUGGCUUAACCGAGGAACAGCGCGGAAAACUGGAAGGCUCGAGUACGGGAGAAGUGGGCGGAAUUCCCAGUGUAGAGGUGAAAUUCGUAGAUAUUGGGAGGAACACCGGCGGCGAAAGCGGCUCACUAGACCGAUACUGACGCUCAUACGCGAGAGCAUGGGUAGCAAACAGGAUUAGAUACCCCCGUAGUCC
RNAcentral lists this ribosomal RNA (292 nucleotides) under uncultured bacterium. RNAcentral's name for it is "partial 16S ribosomal RNA". It matches the Rfam family "Bacterial small subunit ribosomal RNA", at positions 505 to 796 of the family's 1533-position model. The record is from RNAcentral.